This 1048-nucleotide long non-coding RNA is filed under the name Ananas comosus (pineapple). RNAcentral's name for it is "long non-coding RNA (ACOM_LNC001952)". The record is from RNAcentral. Lineage: Eukaryota; Viridiplantae; Streptophyta; Magnoliopsida; Poales; Bromeliaceae.
AAUUAAAAACGGCUUCCAAAUUAAUAAAAGACAUUCCCAUUUCUGGUGUUGAAAUAUUUACUUUUCUGACCUCACAAUUUCUUUCUUCAUCCAUCUAAAAAAUUUUCAAUUCAAAUUAUCAGUCUACCCAGAGAUUUAACAAAAUUGGUCACCUGUAAUACAUCAUAUGUAGUCGGAAUACAAAAUUGGAAUAAUAGUGAGGGGGCAAAAUAUUUAUCAAAAUCUAUACUUCUAAAGUUAUAAUGUAUAGACAACAUUCUACUAAGCCCUAAAAAUGUAUCAUUGCGAUGAAAGAAAAUAAUACAAGUAUUUUAUUAUAACAUUUUAAGCAAACAAAAUAAUCACACAAUCAAUAUUUACUUUACCCCCCUCGGAAUUUUCAUGAUCAAUUUCUACUAGUGUACCAUUCUCUAGCAGUGCGAAUGCAUUUCUGGUACUGAGUGGGCCAAUAUCAUAUUCGUGAAGCAGAAACAUAAAUAUACUCCUAUUAAUGUGGAAUAUGCUGAAUUAUUCGAGUGGGCAUUGUCAAUUCAUCCAGGACUUGUUUUCCUAAGUGAAACAAGAAUUGAUUUUAAUCAAAUCAAAGUGCAUAGUUCAGAGUUUGUUUGCUGUGUGGCAUGUCUUGUUUAGAGAUUCAUCCAACGGAAUCGGGAUUCCAUUUUUUAUUUCGAUUCUAUUAAAUGUCAUCUCAAUUCACAUCGACCCUCCUCUUCAAGUUAAAUAACUAAAAAAUAAAAACUAUGACAUAAAAAACUUCAUAUCACUGUGACAGAGACACUUGAAUAAAACUUCAUAUCACUGUGACAGAGACACUUGAAUACAAAAUUAUGGAGGAAUAUUAUUAGCUGAAAUAUCAACAAAAUUGCUACAGCUCAAACAAAAUUAAACUUAACCAAAUUUAGAAAAAUAGUACCCUAUCAAAGACCUAUAUACACCUACCUACUCAAGCAAAAAAAAUUCUAUUAAUACAAAAUAUUGUUAAGCAUAGAAAAUUUUCAAUAAAAAAUAAUUAUAAUAAAAAUAUAUUAUCUGUUAACUAGUACAUCGU